GACGAACGCUGGCGGCGUGCUUAACACAUGCAGGUCGAACGGAAAGGCCCUGCUUUUGUGGGGUGCUCGAGUGGCGAACGGGUGAGUAACACGUGAGUAACCUGCCCUUGACUUUGGGAUAACUUCAGGAAACUGGGGCUAAUACCGGAUAGGAGCUCCUGCUGCAUGGUGGGGGUUGGAAAGUUCCGGCGGUUGGGGAUGGACUCGCGGCUUAUCAGCUUGUUGGUGGGGUAGUGGCUUACCAAGGCUUUGACGGGUAGCCGGCCUGAGAGGGUGACCGGCCACAUUGGGACUGAGAUACGGCCCAGACUCCUACGGGAGGCAGCAGUGGGGAAUAUUGCACAAUGGGCGGAAGCCUGAUGCAGCAACGCCGCGUGCGGGAUGACGGCCUUCGGGUUGUAAACCGCUUUCGCCUGUGACGAAGCGUGAGUGACGGUAAUGGGUAAAGAAGCACCGGCUAACUACGUG
This 468-nucleotide ribosomal RNA is filed under the name uncultured bacterium. Its description in RNAcentral is "partial 16S ribosomal RNA". It matches the Rfam family "Bacterial small subunit ribosomal RNA", at positions 28 to 507 of the family's 1533-position model. The record is from RNAcentral.